GACAGAGGAUGCGAGUGUUAUCCGGAUUUAUUGGGCGUAAGGAGUCUGUAGGUGGGUAAUUUACAUCUUAUGUGUAUAUCAGGAAUCAAUCCUAGAAAGCGUAAGAAACAAUUAUCUAGAGUUUAGUAGAGUUUAAAGGAAUUUUCAGUGGAGUAGUAAAAUGUGUAGAUAUUGAAAAGAACACCAAAGGCGAAAGCAUUUAAACAAGCUAAUACUGACACUGAGAGACGAAAGCUAGGGGAGCAAACAGGAUUAGAUACCCGAGUAGU
This 269-nucleotide ribosomal RNA is filed under the name uncultured bacterium. Its description in RNAcentral is "partial 16S ribosomal RNA". It matches the Rfam family "Bacterial small subunit ribosomal RNA", at positions 524 to 794 of the family's 1533-position model. The record is from RNAcentral.